This 292-nucleotide ribosomal RNA is filed under the name uncultured bacterium. Its description in RNAcentral is "partial 16S ribosomal RNA". It matches the Rfam family "Bacterial small subunit ribosomal RNA", at positions 505 to 796 of the family's 1533-position model. The record is from RNAcentral.
GUGUCAGCCGCCGCGGUAAGACAGAGGAGCCAAGCGUUGUCCGGAGUGACUGGGCGUAAAGCGCACGCAGGCGGUCGUGCACGUGGGGUGUGAAAGCUCUCGGCUUAACUGAGAGAGGUCACCUCAUACGGCGCGGCUCGAGCCCUGCAGAGGUCCACGGAAUUGCCGGUGUAGUGGUGAAAUGCGUAGAGAUCGGCAGGAACACCCAGGGGGAAACCAGUGGACUGGGCAGGGGCUGACGCUCAGGUGCGAAAGCGUGGGGAGCGAACCGGAUUAGAAACCCUCGUAGUCC